Molecule: ribosomal RNA, 447 nt
Filed under: uncultured bacterium
Lineage: Bacteria
Description: bacterial SSU rRNA
Rfam family: Bacterial small subunit ribosomal RNA
Source: RNAcentral
UGGGGAAUCUUGGACAAUGGGCGCAAGCCUGAUCCAGCCAUGCCGCGUGGAUGAUGAAGGCCUUAGGGUUGUAAAAUCCUUUCGCCGAGGACGAUAAUGACGGUACUCGGAGAAGAAGCUCCGGCUAACUUCGUGCCAGCAGCCGCGGUAAUACAGAGGGUGCAAGCGUUAAUCGGAAUUACUGGGCGUAAAGCGCGUGUAGGCGGGUUGGAAAGUUGGGGGUGAAAUCCCGAGGCUCAACCUCGGAACUGCCUCCAAAACUUCCAGCCUGGACUCAAGUAGAGGCAAGUGGAAUUGCGAGUGUAGAGGUGAAAUUCGUAGAUAUUCGCAGGAACACCAGUGGCGAAGGCGACUUGCUGGACUUGUAGUGACGCUGAGACGCGAAAGCGUGGGGAGCAAACAGGAUUAGAUACCCCUGUAGUCCCUGAGCGGGCUGGCAAGGCGCAU